Vigna unguiculata (cowpea) is the source of this 2251-nucleotide long non-coding RNA. RefSeq lists it as uncharacterized. Lineage: Eukaryota; Viridiplantae; Streptophyta; Magnoliopsida; Fabales; Fabaceae. The record is from RefSeq and is a predicted model, not a curated record.
CUCUCCUAAUUUUUUUAACCUUUCCUUCCAGAGUUUUACAUUCUCGCUCUACUCAAGGGUUUCCACACAUUUCCAAACCCACAUUCUCGUUUUUGUUCAGAAUGCUCUGUCAAGCUCGAUUUGAAUUCAUCAAAUCAGCAUUCAUCUUCUCAUCUCCGUCCAAGGUUUUACACUCACUCUCCUAAAUUUUUUCCUAAAUAUCCAAACACUAGCAUUUUCGUUUUUGUUCAGAAAGGUCCGUCAUCAAAUUGGCGUUUUGAAAGCUCGUUCUAGAAGUUCGAUUUGGAUCCAUCAAACCGAUAUUCAUCUUCGUCCUCGCUCAUCUGCCAGUGCUCGUCAUCUCCGUCAUCGCUCAUCGGCCAGUGGUCGUCGUCAAUGCUUGUUGGCCGUUGCUCGUCUCUCAGUGAUCGUCUCUUAGUGAGUGUGGGUUUGACCCUAAUUUUUUAACCCUCUUUGAUAUGCAGAGAGAUGUUUGCUCUAGUCCUUUCAUUUGGCCUUCUCCUCACUGCAUUAAGAAGCAGAAAGGCUAGGUCAUGGCGCUAUGGUUGUGUAGCAGACUAUUUAUCUCUUUCUUUCUGGGAUGAGAUUGGGGAGAGUGACAAUGAUAGAGACAACAUGCUUCUUCAACUGGAGCAAGAAUGCUUGGAUAUUUAUCACAGGAGAGUUAAGGAGACGAGGAAGCACAAGGCUGACAUAUAUUAAUGGGUGGCAGAUGCUGAAGCUCAAGCAACUAAUAUUGUUUCUUCCCUUAGGGAAUCUACAAUGCUCCCACGAGGAAAAGGAUCCUUGAAGCAGCAAUUAGCUGCCAUUAAACUUGUCUUAGAGGAUUUGAGGUCAAAGAAGGAUGAAAGAAUAAAGGAAUUUUUAGAGAUAAAGUCCCAAAUUUCUCAGAUAUGUGAUGAAAUAGCAGGUUGUGGACAGUACACAAGUGUCACAGACUCAGAUGUAAAUCAAAGUGAUCUGACAUCAAAGAAAUUGGGGGAACUCAAGUCGCAUCUACAGGAGCUUCAGAAUGAAAAGGUUUUACCAAAUUCAUAAUACAGAUAAAUAGUGUUGAUAGUUCCAGAUAAGAGGAGUUGUUAAAGUCAAGCCUCAUGGUCCCAUCACUAAGUUCCCUCUCACUUUCUCUUUAUCUCUUUCUUUCUUUUACAAUCACUUUUUCAUUUGGUUGUUUAGAACAAGUUGUUGAGGUUAAUAUUGAUGUGAUAUUACUAUGAUUCUAAGUCAGUAAAAUGUUAAAGACACUUCUAAUGUUACUGCAGAAUAAAAUGCUUCUUUGAGAGAUUGUGGUUACCUAGAUGUCUUGGUAAAUGAGAGUGAUAGUAUGAGAAUUGAAGUUUACAUAGUUAAGAUAAGGGUAAUAUAUUUCUUGCAUGUUCUGCACCAACAUUCCUUGUAUUUGGAAUGGAGACCAGGUCAUGGUAAGUUCUAAAUUUAUUUCUGUUGCUGCUUAGGUAAUAUAUAAGGGUUAUAUCCAUCAUUAGUUUUUUCAUUAUUUCCUAUGCUAUUGGUGUUAUAUUUAAUAAGUAGUUACUCUUCUUCUCCCACCCUCUUUUUUAUGUAGCCUCUUAGAAUUUUCUUGUCUUCUCUCCAAUUCAGAAAUAGUCACUAGAUUUGAAGAAACACAAGUGCAUCAAGGUAGAUUUCUCUCCUAAGGGUUGAAAGAGUGAGCGAGUAUCUCAAUGCUUCCCAAACUAAAUUCCACCUUUAUUCCUACCUCUGCUUUGUCUGAUGCUCCUCAUAAUUGUAGAUAACAUGUGGAAUGAUGGCUUCUCAAUUUUAGGCUUUUCUUGAUGCCACUGAGUGUCUCUAUAAAACACAAAAGCUUGCCGGCAAACCUGCUGGAAUUAUCUCCAGCACUCGAUACCAAGGUGGUCAAGAAGAGACUACAAUUACAUUAUUUACUGAUUGUGAUGGUAUCAUCCCUCUAGUUCACCGUGGAAUGGUAUUUGUUCCAUUUGGAAUAAGAUUUACAUACAACCAUGAGUUUGAAAAUAUGGAGGAAGUGAAAGGUGGAAGUCCUUAUGGUUCACGAGCAUGGCUAUUACUUGUAUGCUUUGUGUGUUUGACGCAAAGAAAGCUAAUAGAUUUGAAGUAAUCACUUCCUCCAGGUCAGUAAUAGAAUCUGUAGUUUAAUUGAAUAAUUGUUCUUCUAAAGGCAUUUUUUUUUUUUCUGCAGGGAAGACCUUAAUAUGGGUUAAUAUGGAAUUGGUAAAAAAACAUAUUUAAUUCAAAUCUCUAAAUAAAGUUC